GACGAACGCUGGCGGCGUGCCUAAUACAUGCAAGUCGAGCGGAACUGGGGGAGCUUGCUCCUUCCAGUUUAGCGGCGGACGGGUGAGUAACACAUGGGCAACCUGCCCUGCAGAUCGGGAUAACUCCGGGAAACCGGUGCUAAUACCGAAUAGUUUGGCGCCUCUCCUGAGGCGCCACGGAAAGACGGUUUCGGCUGUCACUGCAGGAUGGGCCCGCGGCGCAUUAGCUAGUUGGUGGGGUAACGGCCCACCAAGGCGACGAUGCGUAGCCGACCUGAGAGGGUGACCGGCCACACUGGGACUGAGACACGGCCCAGACUCCUACGUGAGGCAGCAGUAGGGAAUCUUCCGCAAUGGACGCAAGUCUGACGGAGCAACGCCGCGUGAGUGACGAAGGUUUUCGGAUCGUAAAACUCUGUUGUGAGGGAAGAACACGUACCAACUAACUAUUGGUACCUUGACGGUACCUCACCAGAAAGCCACGGCUAACUACGUGCCAGCAGCCGCGGUAA
RNAcentral lists this ribosomal RNA (512 nucleotides) under uncultured bacterium. RNAcentral describes it as "partial 16S ribosomal RNA". It matches the Rfam family "Bacterial small subunit ribosomal RNA", at positions 28 to 523 of the family's 1533-position model. The record is from RNAcentral.